RNAcentral lists this transfer RNA (79 nucleotides) under Paenibacillus odorifer. RNAcentral's name for it is "tRNA-Ser". It matches the Rfam family "tRNA", at positions 17 to 71 of the family's 71-position model. From Rfam's summary of the family: Transfer RNA (tRNA) molecules are approximately 80 nucleotides in length. Lineage: Bacteria; Bacillati; Bacillota; Bacilli; Caryophanales; Paenibacillaceae. The record is from RNAcentral.
GGCGUUUUACAGUGAGGGGCGGUCUUGAAAACCGUUAGGGUGCAAGCCCACAUGGGUUCGAAUCCCAUCCUCUCCGCCA